Molecule: ribosomal RNA, 588 nt
Filed under: Gambierdiscus australes
Lineage: Eukaryota; Dinophyceae; Gonyaulacales; Pyrocystaceae
Description: partial Eukaryotic large subunit ribosomal RNA
Rfam family: Eukaryotic large subunit ribosomal RNA
Source: RNAcentral
GCCAAAUGCCUCGUCAUCCAAUUUGUGACGCGCAUGAAUGGAUGAACGAGAUUCCCACUGUCCCUAUCUGCUAUCUAGCGAAACAACAGCCAAGGGAACGGGCUUGGCAUAAUCAGCGGGGAAAGAAGACCCUGUUGAGCUUGACUCUAGUCUGAGAUUGUGAAAUGUCUCCUGGGGUGUAGCAUAAGUGGGAGGUUUCGGCCGAUCUUGAAAUACCACUACCCAGGACGAUAUUUUACUCAUUUAAUUGUAUAGAACUGAUAAGUUAACACUUGUCAUUUUCUCAAGUUGUAAGCGAUUUGUGCACGAAUCAUCUUUUUGGUCCCUCUGCAAUCGUGAUCUAGUGUUUAAAGACAUUCUCAGGUGGGGAGUUUGGCUGGGGCGGCACAUCUGUGAAAUAAUAGCGCAGGUGUCCUAAGAUGAGCUCAAAGAGAACAGAAAUCUCUUGUAGAAGAAAAGGCUAAAAGCUCAUUUGAUUUUGAUUUUCAGUACGAAUACAAACUGUGAAAGCAUGGCCUAUCGAUCCUUUAGAAUUUACUUUGGAGAUUUCAAUCUAGAGGUGUCAGAAAAGUUACCACAGGGAUAACU